UGAGGAAUAUUGGUCAAUGGGCGAGAGCCUGAACCAGCCAAGUAGCGUGCAGGAUGACGGCCCUAUGGGUUGUAAACUGCUUUUAUAUGGGAAUAAAGUGAGGGACGUGUCCCUUAUUGCAUGUACCAUACGAAUAAGGACCGGCUAAUUCCGUGCCAGCAGCCGCGGUAAUACGGAAGGUCCAGGCGUUAUCCGGAUUUAUUGGGUUUAAAGGGAGCGUAGGCUGUUUGUUAAGCGUGUUGUGAAAUGUAAGAGCUCAACUUUUAGAUUGCAGCGCGAACUGGCAGACUUGAGUGCGCAGAACGUAGGCGGAAUUCAUGGUGUAGCGGUGAAAUGCUUAGAUAUCAUGACGAACACCGAUUGCGAAGGCAGCUUACGGGAGCGCAACUGACGCUAAAGCUCGAAGGUGCGGGUAUCGAACAGG
Molecule: ribosomal RNA, 424 nt
Filed under: Verrucomicrobiota bacterium
Lineage: Bacteria; Pseudomonadati; Verrucomicrobiota
Description: Verrucomicrobia bacterium partial 16S ribosomal RNA
Rfam family: Bacterial small subunit ribosomal RNA
Source: RNAcentral